AUUGAACGCUGGCGGCAGGCUUAACACAUGCAAGUCGAGCGGGGGAAGGUAGCUUGCUACUGGACCUAGCGGCGGACGGGUGAGUAAUGCUUAGGAAUCUGCCUAUUAGUGGGGGACAACAUCUCGAAAGGGAUGCUAAUACCGCAUACGUCCUACGGGAGAAAGCAGGGGAUCUUCGGACCUUGCGCUAAUAGAUGAGCCUAAGUCGGAUUAGCUAGUUGGUGGGGUAAAGGCCUACCAAGGCGACGAUCUGUAGCGGGUCUGAGAGGAUGAUCCGCCACACUGGGACUGAGACACGGCCCAGACUCCUACGGGAGGCAGCAGUGGGGAAUAUUGGACAAUGGGCGCAAGCCUGAUCCAGCCAUGCCGCGUGUGUGAAGAAGGCCUUAUGGUUGUAAAGCACUUUAAGCGAGGAGGAGGCUACUUUAGAUAAUACCUAGAGAUAGUGGACUU
This 453-nucleotide ribosomal RNA is filed under the name Acinetobacter baumannii. Its description in RNAcentral is "bacterial SSU rRNA". It matches the Rfam family "Bacterial small subunit ribosomal RNA", at positions 30 to 477 of the family's 1533-position model. The record is from RNAcentral. Lineage: Bacteria; Pseudomonadati; Pseudomonadota; Gammaproteobacteria; Moraxellales; Moraxellaceae.